GGAUUGCGUCCUAUCAGCUUGUUGGUGGGGUAAAGGCCUACCAAGGCUAAGACGGGUAGCUGGCGUGAGAGCGUGACCAGCCACAAUGGGACUGAGAACGGCCCAUACUCCUACGGGAGGCACCAAUUAGGAAUCUUGCGGGUGGGGGCACCGCCUGGACGAAAACGGUCCUUGGAUUGUAAACUCCUUUUAUAUGGGAAAAUACUUGACUGUACCAUAUGAUUAAAUCCCUGCUAAUACGUGCCAAAACACCAAGCUCAAGCGAACAAACUAACCAAAUCUAGAUAUACAGAAAGGGCCUUUCAUUAGUAACCUGUACACGAGACGAAUCAAAAAAAGGGACGAUUCGGGGAAGCAAAAUUGGGGGGAAACUUUUAAGAAAAAAGAAGGGGGGGGCAAAUAUUAAGAAAAGGGAGGGACGGAAAUCAAAAAAAAGUACAGGUCCCCCGCAGGCCGAUUACCGUUAAAAUAACAGGACAAGUAGGGACACGACAGAGCCGUGCGCGUACAUAUGGGCGCCGACGGACCUACAGAAUAAGUAUGCCAACUACCCGGGGCAGAACAAAGGGCCCGAAAUGGCACGACCGAAAAGAAACAU
This 598-nucleotide ribosomal RNA is filed under the name uncultured microorganism. RNAcentral describes it as "partial 16S ribosomal RNA". The stretch from base 1 to 299 matches the Rfam family "Bacterial small subunit ribosomal RNA", at positions 228 to 535 of the family's 1533-position model. The record is from RNAcentral.